RNAcentral lists this ribosomal RNA (253 nucleotides) under uncultured bacterium. RNAcentral's name for it is "partial 16S ribosomal RNA". It matches the Rfam family "Bacterial small subunit ribosomal RNA", at positions 524 to 776 of the family's 1533-position model. The record is from RNAcentral.
UACGUAGGGGGCAAGCGUUGUCCGGAAUCAUUGGGCGUAAAGAGCGCGUAGGCGGCCCGAUAAGUCCGCUGUGAAAGUCAAGGGCUCAACCCUUGAAUGCCGGUGGAUACUGUCGAGCUCGAGUCCGGAAGAGGCGAGUGGAAUUCCUGGUGUAGCGGUGAAAUGCGCAGAUAUCAGGAGGAACACCAAUGGCGAAGGCGGCGACCUGGGCCAAUAUUGACGCUGAGGUGCGAAAGCGUGGGGAGCAAACAGG